GACGAACGCUGGCGGCGUGCUUAACACAUGCAAGUCGAACGAAGAGCGACGGAAGCUUGCUUCUAUCAAUCUUAGUGGCGAACGGGUGAGUAACGCGUAAUCAACCUGCCCUUCAGAGGGGGACAACAGUUGGAAACGACUGCUAAUACCGCAUACGAUCUAAUCUCGGCAUCGAGGAUGGAUGAAAGGUGGCCUCUACAUGUAAGCUAUCACUGAAGGAGGGGAUUGCGUCUGAUUCGCAAGUUGGAGGGGUAACGGCCCACCAAGGCGAUGAUCAGUAGCCGGUCUGAGAGGAUGAACGGCCACGUUGGGACUGAGACACGGCCCAGACUCCUACGGGAGGCAGCAGUGGGGAAUCUUCCGCAAUGGACGAAAGUCUGACGGAGCAACGCCGCGUGAGUGAUGACGGCCUUCGGGUUGUAAAGCUCUGUUAAUCGGGACGAAAGGCCUUCUUGCGAAUAGUGAGAAGGAUUGACGGUACCGGAAUAGAAAGCCACGGCUAACUACGUG
This 510-nucleotide ribosomal RNA is filed under the name uncultured bacterium. RNAcentral describes it as "partial 16S ribosomal RNA". It matches the Rfam family "Bacterial small subunit ribosomal RNA", at positions 28 to 507 of the family's 1533-position model. The record is from RNAcentral.